Helianthus annuus (common sunflower) is the source of this 2028-nucleotide RNA transcript. It is a transcript of the gene named F-box protein At4g09920, with no coding region annotated. The record is from RefSeq and is a predicted model, not a curated record. NCBI's taxonomy places the organism in Eukaryota, Viridiplantae, Streptophyta, Magnoliopsida, Asterales, Asteraceae. The transcript is spliced from 5 exons.
CAUAUCAAUAACCCACAACCCAUCUUGCGAAAUCGACGAUUGUGAUUCAUCAUUCUCUUCUCAAAUUAAUAUCACAUAAAAGUGGAACGUUGGCGUUUUUCAUCAAAACCUGCCCAAGUUUCUGAGUUUGAUCAAGCUUCUGGAUCCAAAAAAGAAGACACGUUCGUAGUAGUUUAGCAUACAGAACGACAAAAGCAACCGGCAGACUAACAAUGACACAAGAAUCCUGAAAUUCUGGCCUAAUCAAUAGAUAACCGACAUAUAUGGAUUCCAGGCAUGGUAAAGUUAGAAUGAAUGUAGAAGGUGAUCGACUAAGCAACUUGCCAGACGAUCUUAUCCAUAAAAUCCUCUCUUUUAUUGACGUUAAACAUGCAAUUCAAACAAGUGCUUUGUCAUCUAGAUGGAGGUAUAUCUGGACUUCAAUGCCCUGUAUCGAUUUCUCAAGUGAGGGUUUCUAUAUGCUGUCUAAUUUCUCCAAAUUUGUUACACAUCUUCUGCCUAGCCGAAAUAAUCAAAUAGAUGUGUCUUCCGUAAAACUCACUUUUCAUGGAAACGAUAGCCAUGCCCAUGGAAAUGAUAUCCAGGUGCCGGUCAAAAAACUUUUGGACUAUGCAUUCUCCCACAAUGUCCAACAACUGAAUAUUUCUUGCCUGCGUGUAAAGAAAAUCGAAUUUCCUUGUUCGCUUUUUAGUUCUCAGUCUCUCAAACAUCUCACUUUGACUGGCUAUAGUUACAAACAUUUCAUCCUGACCCCACCCACUUGGGAGUUGCCGGCUUUAGCAACAUUAAAUCUCUGUUGUGUCACGUUCUAUGAUGACUGUAGUGACAAGCGUGUUGGUCUUUUCUCCAACUGUGCGAACUUGAAGAAUCUCACCUUAAAGAAUGUUACACUGGUCGGCUUGAAUGAAUUCGUUAUAUGCCAUCCUGGACUAUCAAGUCUAACACUCGAAGAUGGAUCUGAGCAUGUCAAUGUGGUUACACCUCAACUCAAGAAUCUCGUUAUAAAAUAUUGGCAACGGAUACAUCUGAUUUCCGCACCCAACCUUUCCUCCUUGCAUUAUGAACAUCAUUAUUAUAUUUUGGACAUUUCGGCAGACCUUCCCCAUUUGGAGAAGGUGGAUAUACGUAUUCUUAAUCUCUAUGUAGAUUUGGCAAAUUAUCAUAAAAUGGUGCCUCUCCUUCAACGGGUUCAUAGUGUCAAAUUUCUUACACUGAACUCGGAAAUUAUCGAGUUUCUUUCUUCAUCCGCGGAACUAAUCUCAAAUCAACCUUCUCCAUUUGCCAACUUAAAGAGUGUAAAGAUUUAUCCUUUUAGUGUUAGCGAGGAGGAUGAACCCGAACCAAAUGGAACUAUGUCUACUGAAGUAAAAAACUAUUUUCUAGAUCGUUCUCUAGGUGCGACCCUCACAAUGGUUUCACAUGAGGAGAUUAUAGCUGCGAUGAACGUUGUAUCAGCACACAAGCUUAUGAGAAAAUUGCAGGUGAUGUUAGAUCAGUUGAAAGAAAAUAGUGAAACAGACACGACUGAUAUGGAGCAAGUGGAAGUUGAGAACCAUAGGGCACACCAAGACAUGAAAGUGAAAUGGCAAUUUGGGGUAAGAAUGGCACAUAUCAAGAGCUAUUGGAAAGAUCUGAAUGAGCAGAUGGAGAACGGUUAUAAAACUACUGGUUGCAUAUGUUCAAUGUUGCAUAGGAUUAAAGGAGUACUGAGAAAGCUAAGCUGCAAACAAGGUUUUCUGGUUUGUGUCUGGAGGCUGACACACUCAUGGAUGAUAUGAUGGAUCGUAUGAAGGACCAAUGUGAUAAGAAACCGAGACGUUUGAAUGUCUACUUUCAUUAACUUACUACAACAUCACAGCCGCCUUCUUGACAAAUUGCUCCGUCUCCUUUUGGGAUGCUGAAGUUUAUAUUUCUUGUGCUUAUUGAUUUGAUGGUUCAAGAAUAUGUUUAUUUUGUACUUCGAAUGUCUUUGUCAUGUAAUAUCGCCAAAUAUGUUGAAAGGCUUAAAGAUUUUUGUAGUUAUGUUUA